CCCUUAGAUGUUCUGGGCCGCACGCGCGCUACAAUGAUGAAUUCAACGAGCUUAUAACCUUGGUUGAAAAGCCUGGGUAAUCUUUUGAACUUUCGUCGUGAUGGGGCUAGACCCUUGCAAUUAUUGGCCUCCAACGAGGAAUUCCUAGUAAACGCAAGUCAUCAGCUUGCAUUGAUUACGUCCCUGCCCUUUGUACACACCGCCCGUCGCACCUACCGAUUGAAUGGUCCGGUGAAAUCUUCGGAUUGAGACUUUGAUUUCUUCACGGAAAACGCUGUUUUAAAAAGUUGAUUAAACCUUACCAUUUAGAGGAAGGUGAAGUCGUAACA
This 329-nucleotide ribosomal RNA is filed under the name uncultured eukaryote. RNAcentral's name for it is "partial 18S ribosomal RNA". It matches the Rfam family "Eukaryotic small subunit ribosomal RNA", at positions 1470 to 1796 of the family's 1831-position model. The record is from RNAcentral.